Molecule: ribosomal RNA, 253 nt
Filed under: uncultured bacterium
Lineage: Bacteria
Description: partial 16S ribosomal RNA
Rfam family: Bacterial small subunit ribosomal RNA
Source: RNAcentral
UACAGAGGUCCCAAGCGUUGUUCGGAUUCACUGGGCGUAAAGGGUGCGUAGGCGGUCGGGUAAGUCUGAUGUGAAAUCUCACAGCUUAACUGUGAAACUGCAUUGGAUACUAUCCGGCUCGAGGAAUGGAGGGGAGACUGGAAUACUUGGUGUAGCAGUGAAAUGCGUAGAUAUCAAGUGGAACACCAGUGGCGAAGGCGAGUCCCUGGACAACUUCUGACGCUGAGGCACGAAAGCUAGGGGAGCAAACAGG